UGCGUAGGCGGGUCUUUAAGUCAGGGGUGAAAUCCUGGAGCUCAACUCCAGAACUGCCUUUGAUACUGAGGAUCUUGAGUCCGGGAGAGGUGAGUGGAACUGCGAGUGUAGAGGUGAAAUUCGUAGAUAUUCGCAAGAACACCAGUGGCGAAGGCGGCUCACUGGCCCGGGUACUGACGCUGAGGCACGAAAGCGUGGGGAGCAAACA
Molecule: ribosomal RNA, 208 nt
Filed under: uncultured bacterium
Lineage: Bacteria
Description: partial 16S ribosomal RNA
Rfam family: Bacterial small subunit ribosomal RNA
Source: RNAcentral